CUUAUCAUCACCGCAAUCGUUAACCGCUUCCUUAAUCUCCUCCAAAGAGAAAACAUUGAUUAAAGAAUCCCUUUCCUCCUGGUUAAGUCUCGAAAUGGAAUCACAAGAGAUAUUUGGCCUUUGAUUUAGAUCCUCCGCGAAUCGAUUCCUAAAAAACCUCAACACUACACUUUUUAUCUUCAUCGUUUUUCUAGUACGCUCGUUUUAUCAUCAAUGAUAUUCACACAUACCACUUUUUGAUUCUUUUAUAACGGAACAUUCUCAUUUAUGUUUUUCAUAGAACUCCCCUCAUCGUUAUCUUCUGAUUAUUGAAAAUAAAAUAUUAUUUUUAGGUUUAAUAAACUUUUAAAAAUCCUUUCUCAAAGUAUAAAGAAGAAAAUAUCUCUGUUACUUGAAACAGGGGAUGGUCUACUCAGAAAGCUAUUUGCCAGAGCCGGCUCUUGGGGGAGCCAAAUGAAGCUUUCGGCCUCCCAUGGCCUCCAAUUUUCACUCAGGGUUUUUAUAGUUUUAACAAUAUUUUCUGCAGGGAAGAAAGCAUAGUAUGGUUCUAUAAUUUCCGAUUAAUCUCUACUUUAUGUAGUUUUGGAUUUUUUUAAGCUACUUCCAAAUAGUAAUGAUGAAGUGAGAAGAGGGGUUUUUGCAGAGGUAUGGCUGAAGAAAUAAAGGAUGUUGAUGUGUGAAGAAGGCUCUUGCAAAGAAAUGGAUGGAUGUAAUGAUCCGACUCAAAAGGACCAUGAAUUUUCCUAGUAACUUAGUUCAUAUCCAUUUGUUUUCACUUUAUAAUUUAUAUGCAUUUUUCCUUUAACUGUCC
Molecule: long non-coding RNA, 811 nt
Organism: Helianthus annuus (common sunflower)
Lineage: Eukaryota; Viridiplantae; Streptophyta; Magnoliopsida; Asterales; Asteraceae
Exons: 2
Source: RefSeq, a predicted model, not a curated record